UGCGUAGGCGGCUUUUUAAGUUUGGUGUGAAAUCUCCCGGCUCAACUGGGAGGGUGCGCCGAAUACUGAGAGGCUAGAGUGUGGGAGAGGAAAGUGGAAUUCCUGGUGUAGCGGUGAAAUGCGUAGAUAUCAGGAGGAACACCGGUGGUGUAAACGGCUUUCUGGACCAUAACUGACGCUGAGGCACGAAAGCGUGGGUAGCAAACAGGAUUAGAUACCCUGGUAGUCCACGCCCUAAACGAUGCAUAUUUGGUGUGGGCCAUUCAUUUGGUCUGUGCCGGAGCUAACGCGUUAAAUAUGCCGCCUGGGGAGUACAGUCGCAAGGCUGAA
This 330-nucleotide ribosomal RNA is filed under the name uncultured bacterium. RNAcentral describes it as "bacterial SSU rRNA". It matches the Rfam family "Bacterial small subunit ribosomal RNA", at positions 568 to 898 of the family's 1533-position model. The record is from RNAcentral.